GAUGAAGAACGCAGCGAAAUGCGAUAAGUAAUGUGAAUUGCAGAAUUCAGUGAAUCAUCGAAUCUUUGAACGCAUCUUGCGCUCCUUGGUAUUCUGAGGAGCAUGCCUGUUUGAGUGUCAUUUCAACCAUCAAGCCCCAGGCUUGUGUUGGAGCCCUGCGGCUGCCGCAGCCUCCCAAAACCAGUGGCGGGCUCGCUAUCACACCGAGUGCAGUAGUUUACUCUUCGCUCAGGGCGUGUGGCGGGUGCUAGCCGUAAAACCCCCAACUUCUCAAGGUUGACCUCGGAUCAGGUAGGAAUACCCGCUGAACUUAAGCAUAUCAAUAAGCGGAGGA
This 334-nucleotide unclassified non-coding RNA is filed under the name soil metagenome. Its description in RNAcentral is "partial contains 5.8S ribosomal RNA, internal transcribed spacer 2, and large subunit ribosomal RNA". The stretch from base 1 to 120 matches the Rfam family "5.8S ribosomal RNA", at positions 35 to 154 of the family's 154-position model. The record is from RNAcentral.